This is a non-coding RNA of Paramisgurnus dabryanus, 1303 nucleotides long. Lineage: Eukaryota; Metazoa; Chordata; Actinopteri; Cypriniformes; Cobitidae. The record is from RefSeq and is a predicted model, not a curated record.
GCUGGCAUCGGAAAAACUGUCUCUGUACACAAGUUCAUCCUUGACUGGGCUGAAGGAAAAGCCAAUCAGGAUAUAGAUGCCAUGUUCCUGCUUCCAUUUCGAGAAAUUAAUUUGAUUAAAGAUGAAAAGAUCAAUCUCCAACAGCUUCUAAAUUGACAGACUGUAAUCUCACUGUUGAGUGCUGUGAAAGUUUAUCAAAUGCUCUACAUUCACCAAAUCAUCUUUUGGAGCUGAACCUGAGCUACAAUAAUCUGCAGGAUUCAGGAGUGAAGCUGCUCUCUGAUGGACUGAAGAGCCCAAACUGUAAACUGAAGUUACUGAGAUUAUGUUAUUGUAAAUUGACACAGGAAGGCGUUUCUUAUUUGGCUUCAGCUCUGAGGUCAAACCCAUCACACAUAAGAGAUCUGGAUCUGAGCUACAAUGACCCAGGAGUCUCAGGAAUGAAGCUGCUCUCUGAUCUACUGGAAGAUCCAAACUGUAGACUGGAGACACUCGGAUUGGAAAGCGGUAAUCUCUCUGCUGAGUGCUGUGAAAGUUUAUCAUCUGCUUUACAAUCAUUAAACUAUCAUCUGAUAGAUCUGAACCUGAGUAACAAUAAACUGAUUCAGGAUUCAGGAGGGAAGCUGAUCUCUGAUGGACUGAAAAGCCCAAACUGUAAACUGUGUUUAAAGAUUGGAUUUUGUGAGCUUGUACAAUAGAAUCAGUAUUACCUAAGAACCAGUAUUAAGACAACAAUACAAGACAACAAUGUGAAACAAUUUCAAACAGUUCAGACAUGGAACAAUAUCUAAAACAACAACAUGAAUUGAGCAACGUAAACGCACUGGAGCCUCGAGUUUCAGAGCAGAGAUUUAGAAAUGGCAUUUCAUUCCUUUAAAGAAAUUGUAAAAAAGGGUGACAUGGAGGAACAUCUGAGAUGAAAUUUCCAAAUCCAUGAAGGUUCAAGGUAAAUAGGCCGAAAAUAUGGCUGAAAGAUAAAGGUAAACUAAAUGCUACUCAUUUUGCAAUACUUUUUUGUUUGCCAAUCUCAAUGCCAAUACAUCUGUCAUGGAAUUUAGCAUUCAAUGUGUUGUAGCAUGUUUCCUUUAUAUUGCCUUUCGAAAGUUAAAUCACACAGCAGACGUUCUGACGUACGAGAAAUGCAUCUUUUAAUUUGUGCUCUCUGCUGAAUAAAAAUGGCAAAUGUGUUAUCUUGUCUUAUAUUUGCAAGAAUGAAAGGCAAUAACAACUGCUGCUUCCUACUUUAUGUUUUUAAUACAUCCAAAUUUCUGGGUGGAAAUUUAGCUAUAUGCUGUGCAAUAAA